Molecule: ribosomal RNA, 253 nt
Filed under: uncultured bacterium
Lineage: Bacteria
Description: partial 16S ribosomal RNA
Rfam family: Bacterial small subunit ribosomal RNA
Source: RNAcentral
UACGUAGGGUGCGAGCGUUAAUCGGAAUUACUGGGCGUAAAGGGUGCGCAGGCGGUUUUGUAAGCCAGGUGUGAAAGCCCCGGGCUUAACCUGGGAAUGGCAUUUGGGACUGCAAGGCUAGAGUGUGGCAGAGGAGACUGGAAUUCCUGGUGUAGCAGUGAAAUGCGUAGAUAUCAGGAGGAAUACCGAUGGCGAAGGCAGGUCUCUGGGCUGACACUGACGCUCAUGCACGAAAGCGUGGGGAGCAAACAGG